ACAUUGGUGAUUCAGUGAUACUAUUCUCACCUUCCAUGUAGUAGUCCUGGGUUCAAUUCCCAGCCAAUGUA
This 71-nucleotide transfer RNA is filed under the name Loxodonta africana (African savanna elephant). It matches the Rfam family "tRNA". Rfam says of the family: Transfer RNA (tRNA) molecules are approximately 80 nucleotides in length. The record is from Rfam by way of RNAcentral. Lineage: Eukaryota; Metazoa; Chordata; Mammalia; Proboscidea; Elephantidae.